Molecule: RNA transcript, 2320 nt
Organism: Alnus glutinosa
Lineage: Eukaryota; Viridiplantae; Streptophyta; Magnoliopsida; Fagales; Betulaceae
Exons: 19
Source: RefSeq, a predicted model, not a curated record
AUAUUCCAAAAAGGCAUGUUCGAGAAAACAUCCUCGUCACCCUCCAAGUUGCCACACGUAUACAAUUACACGGACACCUACUCUUCGCUCUGUGUGCUCCACCGGUACGUCCGUCCCUCAACUCUCGCUCUUCACCGAGGAAAUCGAAGUGAAAUGGCAGCAAUGUCGGGGAAGGUUGUCCAUAUUGUUUUUGUAUCACAGUGCUACCAACAGAAUAGGCAAUUCAUCAGCACCCAAUAUCAAAGGGACUGUUGUGCCCCUCAUGUGCGCACCUUGCUUCCCUUUCAAGGAGGGAAGUUGGCAUGGACUGGCAUCUCUACCAUGCAAUUGCGCACCUUAUCAAAACACCGGAGUGGUUUUGUUAACCGAGGAACUGUUCACUGCAAUGCUGGUCCCACUACUUCUGCAGUGCCAUCUCUUGACAAAGUUGAUUUCUUGAAGCUUCAAAAUGGCAGUGAUAUACGAGGUGUUGCUGUUCCUGGUGUUGAGGGGGAGCCUGUCAGCCUCACCGAACCAGUUGCAGAAUCAAUAGCAGCUGCCUUUGCUGGAUGGUUGGUGGAAAAAAAGAAAGCUGAUGGCUCUCGACGUUUGAGAGUUUCCAUCGGCAAUGAUUCCCGAAUAUCUGCACAAGUUUUACAGGAUGCAAUUUCUCGAGGUAUUGCUGGUGCAGGCCUGGAUGUUGUUCAAUAUGGAUUAGCAUCUACACCAGCAAUGUUUAAUAGCACACUUACUGAAGAUGAUGCGUUUUUAUGUCCAGUCGAUGGGUCCAUUAUGAUAACAGCAAGUCAUCUGCCUUACAACAGGAAUGGAUUUAAAUUUUUCACAAAUGCUGGAGGGCUUGGAAAAGCUGACAUCAAAGACAUCUUGGAGCGUGCUGCAGAUAUAUACAAUAAUUUUCCGGAAAAUGGUUUGAUGAAUUCAAAGGAAAAAGCUUCUACAUCGAUAAGGAGAGUUGAUUACAUGACCAUAUAUACAUCUGAUCUUGUAAAAGCAGUCCGCAAGGCUGCAGGAAAUAUAGAGAAGCCAUUGGAGGGAUUCCAUAUAGUUGUUGAUGCAGGGAACGGAGCAGGAGGAUUUUUCGCAGCAAAAGUGCUUGAGCCUUUGGGUGCAGUUACUACUGGCAGUCAGUUCUUGGAGCCAGACGGUUUGUUUCCAAAUCAUAUUCCAAACCCAGAGGACAAGACAGCAAUGAAAGCUGUAACUCAGGCUGUUCUUGAUAACAAGGCUGAUUUGGGGAUCAUCUUUGAUACUGACGUUGACAGAUCUGCCGCUGUUGAUUCCACUGGCCAUGAGUUUAACCGGAAUCGUUUGAUUGCCUUGAUGUCUGCCAUUGUUCUUGAGGAACAUCCUGGAACAACUAUUGUGACCGACAGCGUGACUUCAGAUGGUCUGACCACAUUUAUUGAGAAGAAACUUGGAGGGAAGCACCAUCGGUUCAAGAGAGGCUACAAAAAUGUCAUUGAUGAAGCUAUUCGUUUGAACUCUGUUGGUGAGGAGUCACAUCUGGCUAUUGAGACUAGUGGUCAUGGAGCUCUGAAGGAGAAUCACUGGCUUGAUGAUGGUGCUUAUCUCAUGGUCAAAAUCUUGAAUAAGCUUGCUGCGGCCAGAGCUUCAGGAAUGGGUGGUGGCAGCAAAGUUUUAACUGAUCUGGUACAAGGUCUGCAGGAACCAGCUGUUGCUGUAGAACUGAGAUUAAAGAUCAAUCAGAAUCACCCAGAUCUUAAAGGAGGAUCUUUCCGGAACUAUGGAGAGGCGGUGCUGAAACAGUUGGAGAACUCUAUUGAAUCAGAUCCAAAGCUUCAAAAAGCCCCUGUUAGCUAUGAAGGGGUCCGAGUUUCUGGCUUUGGGGGAUGGUUCCUUCUUAGACUCUCACUUCAUGAUCCUGUACUUCCCCUCAACAUCGAGGCACAAAGCAAUGACGAUGCUGUCAAACUUGGACUUCUUGUGCUUGCUGCUGUUAAUGAGUUCCCAGGUCUGGAUACAUCUGCCCUGGAUAAAUUUGUCCAAGUAUAGGCUUCAGAACUAUUCAAGCACCAAAUCCACUGCUUUCAUGAAAUGAGGUAACACCUUUUCAGUGCGGCUCAUCUACGACGUAGCUCCGACAAAUAGAUGCUACAGGAAAUUCAGCUCCAAAUAGCGCACUAGAAUGUUCAGAAAUAAGAGUUGCGAUGUCUAGAACGGAGGGCCUGUACUUUACCCGAAUGAGGAGGAUUCAGACCGGGAUGACGAUGACUUCCAGUUUCGGUUCAUUGGGAAGCCUGAGAUGCACUUCAUGGUGAUGAUGAAAUCAAUCCGGUGCCGAUGAAUGGGAAAGGAAAGG